GUCCGCAGAUUGGUUAGCGCGUGAGACUUUUAAUCUCAAGGCUGUGGGUUCGAGUCCCACAUCGGGCG
Molecule: non-coding RNA, 68 nt
Organism: Setomelanomma holmii
Lineage: Eukaryota; Fungi; Ascomycota; Dothideomycetes; Pleosporales; Phaeosphaeriaceae
Source: the annotation of a GenBank genome assembly